Molecule: non-coding RNA, 338 nt
Organism: Coturnix japonica (Japanese quail)
Lineage: Eukaryota; Metazoa; Chordata; Aves; Galliformes; Phasianidae
Source: RefSeq, a predicted model, not a curated record
UAUGGGUCUGACCCAGCCCCACAUCCCCCCAUAGGAGAACAAGGUGAAGUUUGCGGCUCAGCUGGAGCGUGACUACGGGGUGAGAGUGAACCCGGCCGGGCUGUUCGACGUGCAGGUGAAACGGAUCCACGAGUACAAGAGGCAGCUGCUCAACUGCCUGCACGUCAUCACCCUGUAUAACAGGAUUAAGAAGGAGCCCAAUAAAGCCUUCGUGCCCCGCACCGUCAUGAUCGGGGGCAAGGCCGCCCCUGGUUACUACAUGGCGAAGCUGAUCAUGUCCCUAUUGAUCCCUAUGGUUCCCUAUUGAUCCCUAUUGAUCCUUCCAUUGAUCCUAUUGA